GAGCAACCUAUUCCUUUUGUACACACAAGCCAAUAAUGUUUAACGGUAAAAUGUCUCUUCCACGGGGCCUUAUUCACGUGCAAAUCGUAAUUAUUCUUUCGGCGUAUAUUUUAUCAGUUGACGGGGCCCCACCAGUUCGGAAUUAUUUUAGAGAUGUGUCUGAUAGUGAGCAAUACGUCUUGAGUGGUCAGGAGGAUUCAAGAGAAAACAGUGACAGAAGUUAUGAAAACGAGGUGGAAACAGAUGAACUACCGUCCAUAUAUUUGGACCGACAAGAAAAACGAUUAUACAUAACCCAUGUGGACAAGCCGCUAAUUAGGAAGAUUGAGAUGCUGAUUGAAGAAGAUUUUAAACAUCGGAACAAGAGAGAUGAAAUUAAAAGAAAAUUGUAUAUUUCAGAUGCGGCGCCAUGUUUCUUCAAAAUUUGCAACCUAGGAAAACGCCGAGUUCGCCCUACUAUCAAAUGAAGAUUUCGAACUGCUUAUCAAAAAGUUAUUAUGGAUUUUACUACUUAACAAUUUUGAGAUGUUUUAUUUUUUGAUUGUAUAGUUUUUAAAUGUACGUUUUAAUUAUUGUAAACUAAUAUAUUUAUUGUAUCUAUUUAUUUAAGAUUGUACUGGUAUCUAUUUGAAACAUGUCUUAUGAGGACUUAAUAUUAAAAGCAUAAAUUGUAA
Molecule: long non-coding RNA, 674 nt
Organism: Dalotia coriaria
Lineage: Eukaryota; Metazoa; Arthropoda; Insecta; Coleoptera; Staphylinidae
Exons: 3
Source: RefSeq, a predicted model, not a curated record